UGACAAAAUCUUGAGAGUUUCUCCUUCACAUUUGUAUCCAAUUCCUGCAUAUGUAGUGCUAAAAAGGUGAGCGAUAGAAAGGAUUGGUGUCAUACUGCUAUCGCUAGAGGUGGCAAAAAAGGUGGUCAUAGCAGGUCGACCCAAAACAUUUUCUUAUCAAAAUAAGAUAAAAUAUAUUAUAUCAUUUCAACAAUAAUUUUGGAAUAGAAUUUAGAAGGUUUUAUACAUCUAAAAGACACAUUGAGUGACUUUCGAGUUUCGACCCAUUUGACCUGUUAAGAAACGUAACCCGAACCAACCCAUUAACAUGAUUGUAAAACAAGGUCUCCAAGGCCGAGUACUCCCCGAGUAGUCGCUACAAGGUAGGCUGCCCGAGGCGACUUUCUUCAACUCUGCCUAAUUACUCGGAAUCGACCAAACGCGGCCAACCUCGGCCAGAAUCAGAUCUAGGAGGUCAACUCGGGCAGAGAAACACAGUUUCUACGCGUAUCACAUUAAAGAAGAAUGACUAUCAUUUUCACGUAUUUUAUUAUAAAUAUUAGUAGAUUUAUGUUAUUUGACAUAUAUUUAAUUUCCGAAAACUAAUUUCUUUAUAUGUCCAAGUACUCCCCGAGUACUCUCCGCCUAGGCCGAGUACUCUCAACUCCCCAGUCGACCGACUAGGGAGCGCCUAGCGACUUUUGCAAUCAUGCCCAUUAAUAAGUAAGUGGGUCGAAUUUGCCAACUCUAGCUAUCGUAAAAGCAAGAAAACUGAUUUGAGACCGUUGUGCUGCGACAAGCUAAUAUGUUUGGAGUCAAUCCCAAGCUUCUUAAUCCCCGAACACUGUGUUGGCCUCAAUAAAUGGCAUUGAUUCAAUAUCCCCUACAUGAAGAUGUGAUUUGUCGGAUCAAAAACCCAAAGUACAUAUACAUACACAUACAUAUACAUAUGACACCCAAUAAUUACCUAUAGUACCGCCCAAUUCAAUAACGCACACAUCAGGUGGGCCUUCUUUUCCAUCUACGGGUAUCGCAGCCACUCGUUCGAUCCAAUCUUGAAUGGCAUCGGUGAUGUGG
Molecule: long non-coding RNA, 1056 nt
Filed under: Helianthus annuus (common sunflower)
Lineage: Eukaryota; Viridiplantae; Streptophyta; Magnoliopsida; Asterales; Asteraceae
Description: sRNA HanXRQr2_Chr07g0290411
Source: RNAcentral